Molecule: ribosomal RNA, 460 nt
Filed under: uncultured bacterium
Lineage: Bacteria
Description: partial 16S ribosomal RNA
Rfam family: Bacterial small subunit ribosomal RNA
Source: RNAcentral
CCUACGGGUGGCUGCAGUGAGGAAUAUUGGUCAAUGGGCGCGAGCCUGAACCAGCCAAGUAGCGUGAAGGAUGACUGCCCUACGGGUUGUAAACUUCUUUUAUAAAGGAAUAAAGUGAGGCACGUGUGCCUUUUUGUAUGUAAUUUAUGAAUAAGGAUCGGCUAACUCCGUGCCAGCAGCCGCGGUAAUACGGAGGAUACGAGCGUUAUCCGGAUGUCUUGGGUUUAAAGGGAGCGUAGAUGGGUUGUUAAGUCAGUUGUGAAAGUUUGCGGCUCAACCGUAAAAUUGCAGUUGAAACUGGCAGUCUUGAGUACAGUAGAGGUGGGCGGAAUUAGUGGUGUAGCGGUGAAAUGCUUAGAUAUCACGAAGAACUCCGAUUGCGAAGGCAGCUCACUGGACUGCAACUGACACUGAGGCUCGAAAGUGUGGGUAUCAAACAGGAUUAGAUACCCUUGUAGUC